RNAcentral lists this unclassified non-coding RNA (333 nucleotides) under uncultured fungus. Its description in RNAcentral is "sequence contains ITS1". Lineage: Eukaryota; Fungi. The record is from RNAcentral.
GUAUUCAAAUUUAUUUUUGGUCUUCCAAAAAUUUGAUGUUUUCAGGCUUGCUUCGAGAAAAAGCAAGAAAAGUUUGUCAAGAUGAAAGAAAAAAAACUCUGGCAGCGCCGGAAGGAAAGGGAGGCGAGAAAAGGCAGAGUUUGUCUCCCCCUCCUUCUCUUCCCCCCCUUUCCCUCCACAGAGAAAAGACGGUAAAGUAUUCUCUCCCAGCAAACUGCCAAAGCAAACAUGUCAAUGAUGUGCACACGAAGGUGGAUAUGGAUUUGAACCAUCCAUAUGCAAAGGAAAAAUGGACAAUUGUUAAUGAUCCUUCCGCAGGUUCACCUACGGAAA